Molecule: ribosomal RNA, 468 nt
Filed under: uncultured bacterium
Lineage: Bacteria
Description: partial 16S ribosomal RNA
Rfam family: Bacterial small subunit ribosomal RNA
Source: RNAcentral
GACGAACGCUGGCGGCGUGCUUAACACAUGCAAGUCGAACGGAAAGGCCCUGCUUUUGUGGGGUGCUCGAGUGGCGAACGGGUGAGUAACACGUGAGUAACCUGCCCUUGACUUUGGGAUAACUUCAGGAAACUGGGGCUAAUACCGGAUAGGAGCUCCUGCUGCAUGGUGGGGGUUGGAAAGUUUCGGCGGUUGGGGAUGGACUCGCGGCUUAUCAGCUUGUUGGUGGGGUAGUGGCUUACCAAGGCUUUGACGGGUAGCCGGCCUGAGAGGGUGACCGGCCACAUUGGGACUGAGAUACGGCCCAGACUCCUACGGGAGGCAGCAGUGGGGAAUAUUGCACAAUGGGCGGAAGCCUAAUGCAGCAACGCCGCGUGCGGGAUGACGGCCUUCGGGUUGUAAACCGCUUUCGCCUGUGACGAAGCGUGAGUGACGGUAAUGGGUAAAGAAGCACCGGCUAAUUACGUG